AUAAUCCACGUAAAUUUGACCUAGAUUUGUAUAUCAGCUUGUAUAUCACUGUCGUAAGAUUAUUUUAUGAGAAAUUUUUCAAUAAUAAAUUUUUAUUUAUGUCAAGUCAAGGUGCAGUAAAUGUUUAGGGUUGAGAUGGGUUACAAUAUAGGAAUAUAUACGAAUAURAGUUUGUAAUAUUUAUUGAAGGUGGAUUUGAUUGUAAUAUAGGGUUAUUUACUUUAUAUGGAAAA
Molecule: ribosomal RNA, 233 nt
Filed under: Parascutigera sp. QLD3
Lineage: Eukaryota; Metazoa; Arthropoda; Chilopoda; Scutigeromorpha; Scutigeridae
Description: partial 12S ribosomal RNA
Source: RNAcentral